RNAcentral lists this ribosomal RNA (253 nucleotides) under uncultured bacterium. RNAcentral's name for it is "partial 16S ribosomal RNA". It matches the Rfam family "Bacterial small subunit ribosomal RNA", at positions 524 to 776 of the family's 1533-position model. The record is from RNAcentral.
AACGUAGGACGCAAGCGUUAUCCGGAAUUAUUGGGCGUAAAGAGCUCGUAGGCGGUUUGUCACGUCUGCUGUGAAAUCCCGAGGCUCAACCUCGGGCCUGCAGUGGGUACGGGCAGACUGGAGUGCGGUAGGGGAGAAUGGAAUUCCUGGUGUAGCGGUGGAAUGCGCAGAUAUCAGGAGGAACACCGAUGGCGAAGGCAGUUCUCUGGGCCGUAACUGACGCUGAGGAGCGAAAGCGUGGGGAGCGAACAGG